RNAcentral lists this ribosomal RNA (596 nucleotides) under uncultured bacterium. RNAcentral describes it as "bacterial SSU rRNA". It matches the Rfam family "Bacterial small subunit ribosomal RNA", at positions 29 to 626 of the family's 1533-position model. The record is from RNAcentral.
ACGAACGCUGGCGGCGUGCUUACACAUGCAAGUCGAAUGCGCGUUUCCGUAGCAAUACGGGAAUGGCGCACGGCGCACGGGUGCGUAACACGUGGGUAAUCUGCCCUCUGAUGGGGAAUAACCCGCCGAAAGGCGGGCUAAUACCGCAUAACAUUCCUUGGACUCCGGUUCGAGGAUUCAAAGGCGCAAGUCGUCGGAGGUGGAGCCCGCGCACGAUUAGCUAGUUGGUAGGGUAAUGGCCUACCAAGGCUAUGAUCGUUAGCUGGUCUGAGAGGAUGGCCAGCCACACUGGAACUGAGACACGGUCCAGACUCCUACGGGAGGCAGCAGUGGGGAAUCUUGCACAAUGGGCGAAAGCCUGAUGCAGCGACGCCGCGUGGGGGAUGAAGCUUCUCGGAGUGUAAACCCCUUUCGACCGGGACGAAUGCCCGCAAGGGACUGACGGUACCGGUAUAAGAAGCCCCGGCUAACUACGUGCCAGCAGCCGCGGUAAGACGUAGGGGGCCAGCGUUGCUCGGAAUUACUGGGUGUAAAGGGUUCGUAGGCGGUGUGGCAAGUCGGGAGUGAAAUCUCUGGGCUUAACUCAAGGGCUGCUU